This 115-nucleotide ribosomal RNA is filed under the name Clostridia bacterium. The record is from RNAcentral. Lineage: Bacteria; Bacillati; Bacillota; Clostridia.
GCCGGUGGUUCUUGCACGGUUGAAACACUCGAUCCCAUCCCGAACUCGACAGUGAAACACCGUCACGCCAAUGGUACUUUGUCUCAAGACACGGAAGAGUAGGUCGCUGCCGGCU